GGCUAAAUACGUGCCAGCAGCCGCGGUAAUACGUAGGUGGCAAGCGUUGUCCGGAUUUCUACUCGAGAGAAGCGAGCGCAGGUGGUUUCUUAAGUCUGAUGUGAAAGCCCCCGGCUCAACCGGGGAGGGUCAUUGGAAACUGGGAGACUUGAGUGCAGAAGAGGAAAGUGGAAUUCCAUGUGUAGCGGUGAAAUGCGUAAAUAUAUGGAGGAACACCAGUGGCGAAGGCGGCUCUCUGGUCUGUAACUGACGCUGAGGCUCGAAAGCGUGGGGAGCAAACAGGAUUAGAUACCUUUUUUUUUUCACGCCGUAAACGAUGAGUGCUAAGUGUUGGAGGGUUUCCGCCCUUCAGUGCUGCAGCUAACGCAUUAAGCACUCCGCCUGGGGAGUACGACCGCAAGGUUGAAACUCAAAGGAAUUU
This 421-nucleotide ribosomal RNA is filed under the name uncultured bacterium. RNAcentral's name for it is "bacterial SSU rRNA". It matches the Rfam family "Bacterial small subunit ribosomal RNA", at positions 495 to 912 of the family's 1533-position model. The record is from RNAcentral.